AGCUACUAUCAAACACGGAAGCAGUUACUCAACCGUGCCUUACUCACUGAUGACAGGAGUUUACAACCCGAGGGCCGUCAUCCUCCACGCGGCGUCGCACCGUCAGGCUUUCGCCCAUUGCGAAUGAUUCUCG
Molecule: ribosomal RNA, 133 nt
Filed under: uncultured bacterium
Lineage: Bacteria
Description: partial 16S ribosomal RNA
Source: RNAcentral